GAUGAACGCUGGCGGCGUGCCUAAUACAUGCAAGUCGAGCGAACAGACGAGUAGCUUGCUCCUCUCACGUUAGCGGCGGACGGGUGAGUAACACGUGGAUAACCUACCUAUAUGACUGGGAUAACUGCGGGAAACCGGAGCUAAUAGCGUAUAAUAUAUUGAACCGCAUGGUUCAAUAGUGAAAGACGGUUUUGCUGUCACUUAUAGAUGGAUCCGCGCCGCAUUAGCUAGUUGGUAAGGUAACGGCUUACCAAGGCAACGAUGCGUAGCCGACCUGAGAGGGGGAUCGGCCCCGCUGGAGCGGAGGCACGGUCCAGACUCCUACGGGAGGCAGCAGUAGGGAAUCUUCCGGCAUGGGCGAAUGCUUGACGGAGCACCGCCGCGUGAGUGAUGAAGGUCUUCGGAUCGUAAAACUCUGUUAUUAGGGAAGAACAAAUGUGUAAGUAACUAUGCACGUCUUGACGGUACCUAAUCAGAAAGCCACGGCUAACUACGUG
RNAcentral lists this ribosomal RNA (497 nucleotides) under uncultured bacterium. RNAcentral's name for it is "partial 16S ribosomal RNA". It matches the Rfam family "Bacterial small subunit ribosomal RNA", at positions 28 to 507 of the family's 1533-position model. The record is from RNAcentral.